UUUGUGAUUACUCUCGUUCGUGGUGCCAUUCUUAGUACACGUGGUGGUUCGGAGGAGUUUCUGAGGUGAACGACGAGUUACCAGCGACUUAGUGAUUUUGGAGAUAACCCCCAGACUUAGGACGAGUCGGUGUGACGGGAGCUC
This is a long non-coding RNA of Gossypium arboreum, 144 nucleotides long. RefSeq lists it as uncharacterized. Lineage: Eukaryota; Viridiplantae; Streptophyta; Magnoliopsida; Malvales; Malvaceae. The transcript has 3 exons. The record is from RefSeq and is a predicted model, not a curated record.